UGGGGAAUAUUGCACAAUGGGCGCAAGCCUGAUGCAGCCAUGCCGCGUGUAUGAAGAAGGCCUUCGGGUUGUAAAGUACUUUCAGCGGGGAGGAAGGGAGUAAAGUUAAUACCUUUGCUCAUUGACGUUACCCGCAGAAGAAGCACCGGCUAACUCCGUGCCAGCAGCCGCGGUAAUACGGAGGGUGCAAGCGUUAAUCGGAAUUACUGGGCGUAAAGCGCACGCAGGCGGUUUGUUAAGUCAGAUGUGAAAUCCCCGGGCUCAACCUGGGAACUGCAUCUGAUACUGGCAAGCUUGAGUCUCGUAGAGGGGGGUAGAAUUCCCGGUGUAGCGGUGAAAUGCGUAGAGAUCUGGAGGAAUACCGGUGGCGAAGGCGGCCCCCUGGACGAAGACUGACGCUCAGGUGCGAAAGCGUGGGGAGCAAACAGG
RNAcentral lists this ribosomal RNA (429 nucleotides) under Chloroflexota bacterium. RNAcentral describes it as "Chloroflexi bacterium partial 16S ribosomal RNA". It matches the Rfam family "Bacterial small subunit ribosomal RNA", at positions 355 to 776 of the family's 1533-position model. Lineage: Bacteria; Bacillati; Chloroflexota. The record is from RNAcentral.